RNAcentral lists this ribosomal RNA (482 nucleotides) under uncultured bacterium. Its description in RNAcentral is "partial 16S ribosomal RNA". It matches the Rfam family "Bacterial small subunit ribosomal RNA", at positions 28 to 523 of the family's 1533-position model. The record is from RNAcentral.
GACGAACGCUGGCGGCGUGCCUAACACAUGCAAGUCGAACGAGGUCCAUGGGUGCUUGCACCCGGAAGACCUAGUGGCGAACGGGUGAGUAACACGUGAGAAACCUGCCCCAGACUCUGGGAUAACCCAAGGAAACUUGAGCUAAUACCGGAUAUUCUCCUUUGGUCGCAUGGCCAGUUGAGGAAAGUUUUUCGGUCUGGGAGGGUCUCGCGUCCUAUCAGCUUGUUGGUGAGGUAACGGCUCACCAAGGCGACGACGGGUAGCUGGUUUGAGAGAACGAUCAGCCACACUGGAACUGAGACACGGUCCAGACUCCUGCGGGAGGCAACAGUGGGGAAUCUUGCGCAAUGGGCGAAAGCCUGACGCAGCAACGCCGCGUGCGGGAUGAAGGCCUUCGGGUUGUAAACCGCUUUCAGCAGGGACGAAAAUGACGGUACCUGCGGAAGAAGCUCCGGCUAACUACGUGCCAGCCGCCGCGGUAA